RNAcentral lists this ribosomal RNA (164 nucleotides) under Eugeissona tristis. RNAcentral's name for it is "5.8S ribosomal RNA". It matches the Rfam family "5.8S ribosomal RNA". From Rfam's summary of the family: 5.8S ribosomal RNA (5.8S rRNA) is a component of the large subunit of the eukaryotic ribosome. It is transcribed by RNA polymerase I as part of the 45S precursor that also contains 18S and 28S rRNA. Lineage: Eukaryota; Viridiplantae; Streptophyta; Magnoliopsida; Arecales; Arecaceae. The record is from RNAcentral.
GGUAUGACUCUCGGUAACGGAUAUCUCGGCUCUCGCAUCGAUGAAGAACGUAGCGAAAUGCGAUAUGUGGUGUGAAUUGCAGAAUCCCAUGAACCAUCGAGUCCUUUGAAUGCAAGUUGCACCCGAGGCCAUCCGAUCGAGGGCAUGCUACCUGGGCGUCACUC